UACAGAGGGUGCAAGCGUUAAUCGGAAUUACUGGGCGUAAAGCGCGCGUAGGUGGUUCGUUAAGUUGGAUGUGAAAUCCCCGGGCUCAACCUGGGAACUGCAUCCAAAACUGGCAAGCUAGAGUAGGGCAGAGGGUGGUGGAAUUUCCUGUGUAGCGGUGAAAUGCGUAGAUAUAGGAAGGAACACCAGUGGCGAAGGCGACCACCUGGGCUCAUACUGACACUGAGGUGCGAAAGCGUGGGGAGCAAACAGG
This 253-nucleotide ribosomal RNA is filed under the name uncultured bacterium. RNAcentral's name for it is "partial 16S ribosomal RNA". It matches the Rfam family "Bacterial small subunit ribosomal RNA", at positions 524 to 776 of the family's 1533-position model. The record is from RNAcentral.